RNAcentral lists this ribosomal RNA (559 nucleotides) under uncultured marine bacterium D017. RNAcentral describes it as "bacterial SSU rRNA". It matches the Rfam family "Bacterial small subunit ribosomal RNA", at positions 339 to 916 of the family's 1533-position model. The record is from RNAcentral.
CUACGGGAGGCAGCAGUGGGGAAUCUUGGACAAUGGGCGCAAGCCUGAUCCAGCCAUGCCGCGUGAGUGACGAAGGCCUUAGGGUCGUAAAGCUCUUUCGCCAGGGAUGAUAAUGACAGUACCUGGUAAAGAAACCCCGGCUAACUCCGUGCCAGCAGCCGCGGUAAUACGGAGGGGGUUAGCGUUGUUCGGAAUUACUGGGCGUAAAGCGCACGUAGGCGGACUGGAAAGUUGGGGGUGAAAUCCCGGGGCUCAACCUCGGAACUGCCUCCAAAACUACUAGUCUAGAGUUCGAGAGAGGUGAGUGGAAUUCCGAGUGUAGAGGUGAAAUUCGUAGAUAUUCGGAGGAACACCAGUGGCGAAGGCGGCUCACUGGCUCGAUACUGACGCUGAGGUGCGAAAGUGUGGGGAGCAAACAGGAUUAGAUACCCUGGUAGUCCACACCGUAAACGAUGAAUGCCAGUCGUCAGCAAGCAUGCUUGUUGGUGACACACCUAACGGAUUAAGCAUUCCGCCUGGGGAGUACGGUCGCAAGAUUAAAACUCAAAGGAAUUGACGG